Neofelis nebulosa (Clouded leopard) is the source of this 1970-nucleotide RNA transcript. It is a transcript of the gene named receptor activity modifying protein 1, with no coding region annotated. Lineage: Eukaryota; Metazoa; Chordata; Mammalia; Carnivora; Felidae. The transcript has 2 exons. The record is from RefSeq and is a predicted model, not a curated record.
UUUAUUUCUAGCAUUUCUCUCUAGCUUUCUUACAGCUUCGCAUCUCUGCUACAAGGCUCUGUGGGUGCAGAUUAUCUGCUUUCUCACCUAGACCCCUUGUCGUGAUCAUCUCCUCGAAGUCCCUGCAUAAUAGUUUCAACAUCUAGGUCAUCAAUGAGUCUGAUUCUGUUGAUGGUUUUCUCUCUUGGCAACGCGUUGCUUGGGUUUUGUUGCUUCUGAGUGAAAAGUUCAUAACUUCGUAUCUGAAUACGGAACAUUCAUGGAGAGAACAUCAGAGACGGAGGCGACUAGUGUUCAUCUCUGGCAGUGGGUCACCCUCUCCCGCCAGGCUGUUGGUGUGGGGUUGGAGUCCAUCCUGUCAGGAAACGAGCUGGGUCUGGGGUUUGUGGCCGCCGUGGUCACUUUCAGAGCACCACAGGCCUCCGUACCUGUAGCAAUGGCUGCCACCGCCUUGCGGUCCCAGUGGGGGCUGGUGAAUCUUCCUCAGGGCGGUGUCCCACCCUGCACGCCUGAGCCAGUCUCUCUCCACCUUGUCCAGGUAGCAGACAGUUGCUGCUUGCUGUUCUAUGCUGGGGACAGAGCCUCAGCUCAGGCCACAUGCCUUCGGGCCGCUCCCUGUGGUGGCCCAGCUCUGCCCUGGGUCCGUGGGAUCUUGGCUGGGAGAUUCCUGCCCCUCUGUUUGGUAUCAUGCAGGAUCCCAGGCCUGCUCUCCCAAGGGGGAAGAGUCUUUCCCCUUCCUCUGUCAGCCCUAGUGCGUCUCUCCUGUGCCCUGGCACCGACAGGCUGUGCCGUCCCUCCCUCGGCCGCUGAGGGCGUUUGCUCCCCAGGAGGGGAGGGUCUGGGAAAGCGGGAAGGGCUGUGGUCUGUUCCUCGCCAUCAGCCACUCUUCCUGCAGGGGUCACAGGCUGUCGAUUCUUACAUGAGAAGUAUUCAAGAAACAUGCAGUGUUUGUGCCUGGCCCCAAGGGACAGCCAGUCCCCUGCCUGCCACUAACCUUUCUCACGAGCACCCGCUGGAGCUUCGUGGGAAAAAGUGGGGAGUCACAAAACCACCGGGGUGUCUGGGGCCCCGGGAAUUCCAGACUGACCUUCUAGGCUUAGUUGGUCUUUGCAGUCUGUCAGUAGUGGGUUUCUUCUCAUGUCUGUUGUUCCCGUGCUCUGCCCCAGGCGGGACGGUCCUUGAAACAAGUUACUUCGUUGGUUUGUGGUCUCUACUCUCUGACGGACUCCAGAAAACAUAGGGUUUUGUGGUUUCUUUGGCUUUUGUCGUUGUUGUUGUUUUGGGAUUUUUUGUCUGUUUGUUUUACAACUUUCUACCUGCUAAGUAGAAGCAGAAGGGACUCAUCUUCUGGAAACUGCAUUUUAAUAUCCCCCAAUUUCAAUCUUCAUUUAUUAAAAAGUAAUUUACUUGGGGUGCCUGGGUGGCUCAGCUGGUUAAGCAUCCGACUCUUGGUUUCAGCUCAGGUCACGAUCUCACAGUUUGUGGGAUUCAGCCCCACGUCGAGCUCUAUGCUAACAGUGCAGAGCCUGCUUGGGAUGCUCUCUCUUUCUCUCUCUGUCAAAAAAAGUAAUAGAUAAAAUUUUUUAAACGGUUAAAAUAGCAAAAAAGAAAAAAAAAACACAACAAAACAAAAAACAAAAAAAAAAACCAAACAAGCAAACAUGAUUUCUAUUUUACCACAAUAAAAAAAGGACCAAACAGCCGACUCACGCCUGCCACGUUCCAAGUACCCUUCUAGGCACUGGGACUGCAGAGGUGAACAAAACAGACCAGAUCCCUGUCCUCAGCAUUUCCACCCAAUGAAUAAAAUUAAGACGUGGCUCUGCACCAUGAAAGGACCUACAAAGUGCUCACUGACUGCACCAGGCACGUGGCGGACCAGCUGGGCUGCUUCUGGCCGAAUGCGGCCGUGGACAGGUUCUUUGUGGCCGUCCACCGGCACUACUUCAGGAACUGCCCCGUCUCCGGCA